RNAcentral lists this ribosomal RNA (289 nucleotides) under uncultured beta proteobacterium. Its description in RNAcentral is "partial 16S ribosomal RNA". Lineage: Bacteria; Pseudomonadati; Pseudomonadota; Betaproteobacteria. The record is from RNAcentral.
CUACCCGGGUUUCUAAUCCUGUUUGCUCCCCACGCUUUCGUGCAUGAGCGUCAGUGUUAGCCCAGGGGGCUGCCUUCGCCAUCGGUGUUCCUCCACAUCUCUACGCAUUUCACUGCUACACGUGGAAUUCCACCCCCCUCUGCCACACUCCAGCCCGCUAGUUUCCAAUGCAAUUCCCAGGUUAAGCCCGGGGCUUUCACACCAGACAUCACGAACCGCCUGCGCACGCUUUACGCCCAGUAAUUCCGAUUAACGCUCGCACCCUACGUAUUACCGCGGCUGCUGGCAC